UUGCCAGACUCCUACGGGAGGCAGCAGUGGGGAAUAUUGCACAAUGGGCGAAAGCCUGAUGCAGCAACGCCGCGUGAGCGAAGAAGGCCUUUGGGUCGUAAAGCUCUGUCCUAAGGGAAGAAGGAAGUGACGGUACCUUAGGAGGAAGCCCCGGCUAACUACGUGCCAGCAGCCGCGGUAAUACGUAGGGGGCAAGCGUUAUCCGGAAUUAUUGGGCGUAAAGAGUACGUAGGCGGUUCUUUAAGCGCAGGGUUUAAGGCGAUAGCUUAACUAUCGUUCGCCCUGUGAACUGGGGGACUUGAGUAUCGGAGAGGAAAGCGGAAUUCCUAGUGUAGCGGUGAAAUGCGUAGAUAUUAGGAGGAACACCAGUGGCGAAGGCGGCUUUCUGGACGAAAACUGACGCUGAGGUACGAAAGCGUGGGGAGCAAACAGGAUUAGAUACCCCCGUACU
Molecule: ribosomal RNA, 451 nt
Filed under: uncultured bacterium
Lineage: Bacteria
Description: bacterial SSU rRNA
Rfam family: Bacterial small subunit ribosomal RNA
Source: RNAcentral